Molecule: ribosomal RNA, 492 nt
Filed under: uncultured bacterium
Lineage: Bacteria
Description: partial 16S ribosomal RNA
Rfam family: Bacterial small subunit ribosomal RNA
Source: RNAcentral
AGUGAACGCUGGCGGUAGGCCUAACACAUGCAAGUCGAACGGCAGCACAGUAAGAGCUUGCUCUUACGGGUGGCGAGUGGCGGACGGGUGAGGAAUACAUCGGAAUCUACUUUUUCGUGGGGGAUAACGUAGGGAAACUUACGCUAAUACCGCAUACGACCUACGGGUGGAAGCAGGGGAUCUUCGGACCUUGCGCGAUUGAAUGAGCCGAUGUCGGAUUAGCUAGUUGGCGGGGUAAAGGCCCACCAAGGCGACGAUCCGUAGCUGGUCUGAGAGGAUGAUCGGCCACACUGGAACUGAGACACGGUCCAGACUCCUACGGGAGGCAGCAGUGGGGAAUAUUGGACAAUGGGCGCAAGCCUGAUCCAGCCAUACCGCGUGGGUGAAGAAGGCCUUCGGGUUGUAAAGCCCUUUUGUUGGGAAAGAAAAGCAGCAGGUUAAUACCCCGCGGUUCUGACGGUACCCAAAGAAUAAGCACCGGCUAACUUCGUG